UACGUAGGGUGCGAGCGUUAAUCGGAAUUACUGGGCGUAAAGCGUGCGUAGGCGGGUGUUUAAGUGCAAUGCGAAAUCCUGUGGCUCAACCAUAUGGACUGUAUUGCAUACUGGAUACCUGGAGGAAUGCAGAGGCAAGUGGAAUUACUGGUGUAGCAGUGAAAUGCGUAGAUAUCAGUAGGAACACCAAUGGCGAAGGCAGCUUGCUGGGCAUUUUCUGACGCUAAGGCACGAAAGCGUGGGGAGCGAACAGG
RNAcentral lists this ribosomal RNA (254 nucleotides) under uncultured bacterium. RNAcentral's name for it is "partial 16S ribosomal RNA". It matches the Rfam family "Bacterial small subunit ribosomal RNA", at positions 524 to 776 of the family's 1533-position model. The record is from RNAcentral.